GCACUGUUGAGAAGUCCAACAAUAGGACGAAACGGCCGUCCAGUGA
RNAcentral lists this non-coding RNA (46 nucleotides) under Schistosoma margrebowiei. Lineage: Eukaryota; Metazoa; Platyhelminthes; Trematoda; Strigeidida; Schistosomatidae. The record is from RNAcentral.